This 145-nucleotide microRNA precursor is filed under the name Gossypium arboreum. RNAcentral describes it as "MIR7502 microRNA precursor family". It matches the Rfam family "MIR7502 microRNA precursor family". Lineage: Eukaryota; Viridiplantae; Streptophyta; Magnoliopsida; Malvales; Malvaceae. RNAcentral also lists the same sequence under 1 other name. The record is from Rfam by way of RNAcentral.
UGUUAAAAUUUUGAUCCAUUUGUACUAUUAAAAACUGUCGUGGCUGACGAAAUAACCAUACAGUGACAUGUAGCGUGUCAUGUAUAUCUCAUGCUAAUGUACAGGGAUCAAAUUUUAACCGUAGAAAUGGAUUAAAUUCAUAGAA